UGCAAGCUUCUCUUGUGGAUUUGCUUACUGGAACUGGAUAUGUGUGCUAUUUAGGUUGCAAGAGUGAGAAAUACUCUGGCAUACGCAACUCAUAAAUUCUUUUCAAGACAAUGGAUUUGUUUGGGUUUCGAGCCCAAUUAUUACUGCCUCAGAUUGUGAAGGAGCUGGGGAGCAGUUUUACGUGACUACUUUGCUUUCAAACAGCGCUGAAGGUGGUUCUCUACUCAAAGAUAUUCCUGCUACUAAGGAUGGAAGGGUUGAUUGGUCACAGGAUUUCUUCUGCAAACCAGCAUUUCUGACAGUGUCUGGACAGCUUAAUGGUGAAACAUAUGCUUCAGCUCUAUCUGAUAUUUACACAUUUGGUCCAACGUUUAGGGCUGAAAAUUCAAACACUUCAAGGCAUCUGGCUGAAUUUUGGAUGAUUGAACCUGAGCUUGCCUUUGCGGAUCUGAACGAUGACAUGGCUUGUGCAACUGCAUAUCUCCAGUAUGUAGUAGGU
Zea mays is the source of this 499-nucleotide long non-coding RNA. RefSeq lists it as uncharacterized. Lineage: Eukaryota; Viridiplantae; Streptophyta; Magnoliopsida; Poales; Poaceae. The record is from RefSeq and is a predicted model, not a curated record. The transcript has 5 exons.